This 460-nucleotide ribosomal RNA is filed under the name uncultured bacterium. RNAcentral's name for it is "partial 16S ribosomal RNA". It matches the Rfam family "Bacterial small subunit ribosomal RNA", at positions 338 to 795 of the family's 1533-position model. The record is from RNAcentral.
CCUACGGGAGGCAGCAGUGAGGAAUAUUGGUCAAUGGGAGCUAUCCUGAACCAGCCAAGCCGCGUGCAGGAUGACGGCUCUACGAGUUGUAAACUGCUUUUGUACCGGGGUAAAAUGCCUUACGUGUAGGGUUUUGCAUGUACGUUACGAAUAAGGAUCGGCUAACUCCGUGCCAGCAGCCGCGGUAAUACGGAGGAUCCGAGCGUUAUCCGGAUUUAUUGGGUUUAAAGGGAGCGUAGGUGGAUUGUUAAGUCAGUUGUGAAAGUUUGCGGCUCAACCGUAAAAUUGCAGUUGAAACUGGCAGUCUUGAGUACAGUAGAGGUAGGCGGAAUUCGUGGUGUAGCGGUGAAAUGCUUAGAUAUCACGAAGAACUCCGAUUGCGAAGGCAGCUCACUGGACUGCAACUGACACUGAGGCUCGAAAGUGUGGGUAUCAAACAGGAUUAGAUACCCGUGUAGUC